UCCAAUUAAAAUAAGUAUAAAACUAAACUUGCAACUAGACUUAAACAACAUAAAAAUAUACGCAUGAUUAAGCUUAAAUGUACAUGAAAAUAGACCUUUAUUAGGGACCAAUUUUAUGUCUAUAUUAAAAAUUUAUUUAGAGAAUUUCAACUAAAACAACCUAACCUAUUGAAAGUCAACAAAAGAUAUGGUCUUCCUUCCCCACGCCUUGCAAUCUUGACAAAAUAAUGCCAUGUUCCCUACGCCAUGGAAAACAAUGCCAUUGUCCCUACGCCAUGGAAAACAAUGCCAUUUACUCUAUCAAGCAAAUGGAAAAAAAUGCCAUGGUCCCUACGCCAUUCUAUAGAAAAGCUUUGUCUUAUUCUUUAGAUGGCUUUCAUUCUUUGAUACCUCUUUCAUUCUUCAAUAUCAAAAAAGUCAAGAAAACCGUGUAGUCCCCACCCAUUUUAAACAAAGCUCUAGUUUUGUCCUAUCCAUGGCUUCUUCAUUUUAAUAAUUUUUUUUCUAUUUUUCCAUCCUAAAAACCAUGCCACCACCCGUAGCUUUUUAAACUUCUACAAAUAAACUGCAUCCAACAAUUCACAUACAGAAAAACAAACCCUUAAAGAAUUGAGACCCUUUACUUCCAUGGACCAAUUAUAAAGCAUGCAUUAUAUAUACCAUGUGCAAAAGUGAAGAGAAGAAAGAACAAGAUGCGUGAAUAAUAAUGAGAAGCCAACAAACAUAACAAAAAGGAGGUUUUAAGCUUUCUUGCAUCAUUUCAUGCAGAGAUUAAAAACAAUAGCACCCAUAUAAGAUGAACUUUUAAGCUUAUAUAAUAACAUACAUACGGAAACAAGUAGAAGAAAACAAAUAUAAUAACCUUUAAACCCUCGACAAACAACCUACAAACAAGGACAUACCAGAAUCAGCAAAAGUUUGAAGCUUUAAGCUUCCUUAAACUAACAAGAUUUCAAGUUUCAUACAAACCCUAUACCGAAACAAACAUGCAAAAAAAAAAAAAAGGACUAUUUUUCUUAAUCUUUCAUGGAAGAACAUGAAUAUCCAAAAAGUUCAGGAAGACAACCUUUCCUCCCUUUUCUUUUUUUUUUUUUUUGCUGGCAGCUUCCUCUUCUUUCUUCCUUAGGCAGCUUUCUACUCCUUUUUGGUAUAAUCCUCUCCUUUUCUUUUUUCUUUUUCCCUUCUCCUUCACCUCCUUUAUUCGGCUAGCUUUCUCUUCUUUUUUUUUUUUCCAGCAGUUUCUUUCUUUCCUUCCUUUCUUUUUUUUUUUUUUUUUUUAGCAUUGGGUCCCUUCUUCCCCUUCUUCUUCCAGCCUCUUCUCCUCUAACCCCUUCGGUAGACCCCUCUUUCUUUCUUUUCAAGAGUCAGCCCCUUAAAAAAAGAUCUUUUUCUUGGUGAAUAUAGACCCUUGGAUGAAAUCUCAUCCAAGGGUCAAAGUUUUUGUUUUUUUCUCCUUUUCAAGGAGCCACAUUUGGUCACUAGAUUAAAAUCAUUAAAACAUCCAAUGAUCUAUAUUAUUCAUUGCAAAAGUUGAAUUUUUAUAUUUUUCAAACUUAUGAAAAGAUCAUUUUAUUUAUAGUAUAAAGUUUUUAGUAUUUAAGUAAUUUUCUUAUAAAUUAAUAUUCUUAUGCUCAUUUUUAAGAUUUUAAAACAC
RNAcentral lists this long non-coding RNA (1654 nucleotides) under Durio zibethinus. Its description in RNAcentral is "long non-coding RNA (DZIB_LNC000820)". The record is from RNAcentral. Lineage: Eukaryota; Viridiplantae; Streptophyta; Magnoliopsida; Malvales; Malvaceae.